GUUACCUACGGGACGCAGCAGUGGGGAAUAUUGCACAAUGGGGGAAGCCCUGAUGCAGCGACGCCGCGUGGGCGACGAAGCGCUCCGGCGCGUAAAGCCCUGUCAGCAGGGAAGAACAAAGACAGUACCUGACCAAGAAGCCCCGGCUAACUACGUGCCAGCAGCCGCGGUAAUACGUAGGGGGCAAGCGUUAUCCGGAUUCACUGUGCGUAAAGGUAGCGCAGGCGGCACGGCA
This 235-nucleotide ribosomal RNA is filed under the name uncultured bacterium. RNAcentral describes it as "partial 16S ribosomal RNA". It matches the Rfam family "Bacterial small subunit ribosomal RNA", at positions 334 to 585 of the family's 1533-position model. The record is from RNAcentral.